CAAUCAAACCGGGAGAUAGCUGGUUCUCCCCGAAAGCUAUUUAGGUAGCGCCUCGUGAAUUCAUCUCCGGGGGUAGAGCACUGUUUCGGCUAGGGGGCCAUCCCGGCUUACCAACCCGAUGCAAACUGCGAAUACCGGAGAAUGUUAUCACGGGAGACACACGGCGGGUGCUAACGUCCGUCGUGAAGAGGGAAACAACCCAGACCGCCAGCUAAGGUCCCAAAGUCAUGGUUAAGUGGGAAACGAUGUGGGAAGGCCCAGACAGCCAGGAUGUUGGCUUAGAAGCAGCCAUCAUUUAAAGAAAGCGUAAUAGCUCACUGGUCGAGUCGGCCUGCGCGGAAGAUGUAACGGGGCUAAACCAUGCACCGAAGCUGCGGCAGCGAACGUAUCACCCAAGACAACUUUACGGAGUUGACGAUUGACGGAGCGAAGCGACGUCAAAGCGUUCAUUAAAGUCGAGUUGGCUUAGGGAUACGUUCGUUGGGUAGGGGAGCGUUCUGUAAGCCUGUGAAGGUGUGUCGUGAGGCAUGCUGG
Molecule: ribosomal RNA, 534 nt
Filed under: Salmonella enterica
Lineage: Bacteria; Pseudomonadati; Pseudomonadota; Gammaproteobacteria; Enterobacterales; Enterobacteriaceae
Also listed under: 1 other name
Description: partial 23S ribosomal RNA
Rfam family: Bacterial large subunit ribosomal RNA
Source: RNAcentral